This 531-nucleotide long non-coding RNA is filed under the name Homo sapiens (human). RNAcentral describes it as "HSALNT0391371". Lineage: Eukaryota; Metazoa; Chordata; Mammalia; Primates; Hominidae. The record is from RNAcentral.
UGCACUUCGGGGAAAUAUCUCCAAAGGAGCCACCUCAUCUGUGUUGGGAUUGAGUUGCAUCUAGAACAGACUCCUUGGCCACUUUCUUCUACUCCCUAGGCUUUCUGAAAGCAUCUGAAUGUCUGUCCAACUGCAAGCUACGUCAUGGAAACAGGACCGCCCUGAGGGGCUCUCCAAUAUGAAUGCCAGGGCUGCCAGAUUCCACAGACAAGAAUAAAGGGCAUCCAGUGAAUUCUGAAUUUCAGAGAAGCAGCAUUUUUUUCAUUAAAAGUGGAUGAAGUUUUGUGUUUGCUCUACUGACCUGAAGUGAGGAACAACCACAUACAUCUUUGUCUUCACUCUGUCCAGCUGUCAACUGCAUUGUUCCCUCACGUCUUCCUGCAAAGUACCAUUAUUUCCACACCUUAAGAAUUAAAGAGUGAAGAGAAAACGACAAAAUGUUCUUGUUUAUCAGGAGAUGGGGGUGAGCUGAGCUUUCCACAAGGUCCUGAAUGGAUGAGAAGGACCCAAAACAUAUGGAAAAUAUGGAGA